CUGAUUUUGCGGGCGGUCGCGGGUGGACAAAACCUUGAGAAAUCAAGGUUUUCGAAGCGCGAGGAAAGUCCGGACUCCAAAGGACGAUGCAGGGGGUAAUGCCCCUCACGGUGUGCCGGUCAAACGGUGUGCUGGCGGAACAGUGGAACAGAGAGAAUGUCCAGGGCUAUGAGCCGACGAACGGGAACGGGAGUUCAUCGGGGAGCUGCUGGAGUGAAAACAGCCAAACUCUGCAUGGAGCAAGAACAAAUAGGGAAGCGGUUAAAUGCGGUCCGCAUGUGCUUCCGGGUACGUUCGCUUGAGCCCACAGGUAACUGUGGGCCUAGAUGAAUGAUCGCCACUUUGCUGGAGUUCGGAACGAAGGCAGAGAACAGGAUCCGGCUUACAGCAAAAUCAAAGUC
RNAcentral lists this RNase P RNA (401 nucleotides) under Pseudobdellovibrionaceae bacterium. RNAcentral's name for it is "Bdellovibrionaceae bacterium (activated sludge metagenome) RNase P RNA component class A". It matches the Rfam family "Bacterial RNase P class A". Rfam says of the family: Ribonuclease P (RNase P) is a ubiquitous endoribonuclease, found in archaea, bacteria and eukarya as well as chloroplasts and mitochondria. Lineage: Bacteria; Pseudomonadati; Bdellovibrionota; Bdellovibrionia; Bdellovibrionales; Pseudobdellovibrionaceae. The record is from RNAcentral.